Molecule: long non-coding RNA, 1031 nt
Organism: Limulus polyphemus (Atlantic horseshoe crab)
Lineage: Eukaryota; Metazoa; Arthropoda; Merostomata; Xiphosura; Limulidae
Exons: 3
Source: RefSeq, a predicted model, not a curated record
AUGAUUAGAUCGGACAUUAUUAGUCCAAGCCUCGAGUCUUAAAUUAUAAUGUCACUAGUUGAAUGGGUCGUUAAAUAGUGGCUGAAUGCCUUGAUUCAAGCCAAAGUCAUGCAGCUGCGACAGUGGCGUUCGUGUCUGUCAAGUCAAAAAGCCGUUUCGAGAAAUAAAAAGGUUCCAUUGGCCUAAAUUCAGUUAGACUGGAGUAAAGUGUACCGUUACUAUAACUGGGAAGAAAAGGCAGCCAGAAAUACUCGGCUAAACCAUUAGGAGCGGCGAACUAAAAGGAAAUCUACUCGAGUUAGCUGUACCAUGAACAAAUCGAAAUUUCUAGCACUCUCACUCUUUUUUUUUUUAACUCUUCAUGUAAUAUUCUCAAUUUAUUUGUUUUAACAAAUCCAGAAAGACUGGAAUUGGUUUCUGUGUCAAUUUAACAGUACAAAUUUCUUAAAAAACAAGAUAUUUAAGUAAAAUCAACUUUAUGUGAACAGACGAAAAAUGUAGGUGAAAAUGGUUAAAAUAUAUUGACAAGUAGAGUAGUUCACAAUCUAAACUAUCUAAAGUACGUGAUAACUAUGUUAUGAAUAUAGUACAAAGAACAGUAAACUAUAUCUUAGCUAGUUAUUGACAAACAUUGACCUUAAACACAAUUCUUACAAACAACUUGUGUUCCAACAAUGUGGUUGUAAAUAUUAAAAUAUACGUAAGAUAAUUAUCACACACACUAUCAAACACCAGUAAUCAAAAACACGGAUAUUAUUGUUACAAACAAAGUGGAACAAAAGACACAUACAAUAAAACCAAGUACUACAAACCACAAACAUUUUGACUUUCGGGCCCAGUGAAUGUCCGUUUGGGCGGGCAAAAUCUUCUGGUGUGUUUAAUCAACUAUUCGGCGUUGUGAGAGUCAACGUUUAUAAUCAGUAUUCAAAUAAACUAUAGUAAAUUUUUACUUAUUCUGUACGGUUACUCAGAGUGAAAUAUUCCAUAAUGCUCAUAUCAUUGUGAUAAGUUUAAUAAAAAUAAACUAUAUG